This 499-nucleotide ribosomal RNA is filed under the name uncultured bacterium. Its description in RNAcentral is "partial 16S ribosomal RNA". It matches the Rfam family "Bacterial small subunit ribosomal RNA", at positions 30 to 523 of the family's 1533-position model. The record is from RNAcentral.
AUUGAACGCUGGCGGCAUGCCUUACACAUGCAAGCCGAACGGCAGCACGGGAGCAAUCCUGGUGGCGAGUGGCGAACGGGUGAGUAAUGUAUCGGAACGUGCCCAGUCGUGGGGGAUAACGUAGCGAAAGCUACGCUAACACCGCAUACGAGCUAUGGAUGAAAGCGGGGGAUCGCAAGACCUCGCGCGAUUGGAGCGGCCGAUAUCAGAUUAGGUAGUUGGUGGGGUAAAGGCUCACCAAGCCGACGAUCUGUAGCUGGUCUGAGAGGACGACCAGCCACACUGGGACUGAGACACGGCCCAGACUCCUACGGGAGGCAGCAGUGGGGAAUUUUGGACAAUGGGCGCAAGCCUGAUCCAGCAAUGCCGCGUGCAGGAUGAAGGCCUUCGGGUUGUAAACUGCUUUUGUACGGAACGAAACGGUGAGCUCUAUACAGUUUGCUAAUGACGGUACCGUAAGAAUAAGCACCGGCUAACUACGUGCCAGCCGCCGCGGUAA